ACGGCCAUAUCACUUUGAAAACAUUGGUUCUCGUUCGAUCAUAGAAGUUAAGCAAUGUCGGUCAGUACUUGGGAGGGUGACCACCUGGGUGUGCUGUAAGCU
Non-coding RNA from Cordylochernes scorpioides, 102 nucleotides. NCBI's taxonomy places the organism in Eukaryota, Metazoa, Arthropoda, Arachnida, Pseudoscorpiones, Chernetidae. The record is from the annotation of a GenBank genome assembly.